Pelobates cultripes (western spadefoot toad) is the source of this 224-nucleotide non-coding RNA. The record is from the annotation of a GenBank genome assembly. Lineage: Eukaryota; Metazoa; Chordata; Amphibia; Anura; Pelobatidae.
GUCAGGCUUCUAAAUCUACCAUUAGCAGAUGGAUUGUUUCAGCCAUCAUCUAAGCUUAUCAGGCUUCGAAAGCUCCAGUCCCGCAUGGACUCAAAGCUCAUUCCACGAGAUCCCUUUCCUCCUCUUGGGCCUCCUCUGCCAAGGUCUCUCCUGAGCUGAUUUGUAGAGCUGCCACCUGCGUCCUAUGCCAAUACUUUCAUCAGACAUUACCAAGUAGAUGUCAG